CCUUGCCAGGGCCUGGACGACUCUGAGAACUCAACGAGGCGCUGGAGCAAACAAGACUUGUCUAAAGCGACCCUCAUAGCCUGGGUGAUCUUUUCAGUAGCACUUAGGGAAUUUAUAUUGAAACUUCUGGCAUGUUCCAAGGGUGUGAGAUCUUCCUCUUUCUCCAAAAGUGGCACAGUGUGAAAUGUCUGUAGUUGGCUGGAAUAAAGCAAGAGCCACAGGUCUGUUUGGUUGGGGGCCGGACCUCCUGAAUCUCAGCCUCCCGAACCCUGCUCCCGAUUCACCGUCUCCAGCCCUUCUCCCCUCCCAUCAACUUCCUAGACUCAGAUCACAGACCUCAGCACUCGGCUCAGAGACACUGAAAGGCUCACCGCUGCCCUUGAGAAGACAGGCGACUGUGAGUGUGAGCCUCAGCAUCCCUCCUGGCCCUACGCUACGUCCAGCCUUACCUCCUCACCGCUCAUUGUGGGCCCUCUGUUCUUGCACUGUCAGGCUACUGGAGUUCUCGCAACGUGGCACAGACAGAAUCGUGACUCCCGUCAGGAUGAUCCUGGGGCUGACUCAUUUGCCUGAGGAUUUCCAAAGCUGCUCAUUCCAGCACCAUCAAGAUGGAAGCCCCUGAGGCUGACUAGCACCCCCAGCGUGUCCGUGAGGUCACCAUUUCCAGUCAGACCCAGAGACAAGAAGCAUAUACACAUCUGCUUUCUGGUAGCCAG
Dama dama (fallow deer) is the source of this 716-nucleotide long non-coding RNA. RefSeq lists it as uncharacterized. The transcript is spliced from 3 exons. The record is from RefSeq and is a predicted model, not a curated record. Lineage: Eukaryota; Metazoa; Chordata; Mammalia; Artiodactyla; Cervidae.